AAUUGUGCUGAAAACAUCACUGACAAGAAAAUGAAAAUAUUGUCAGUUCUUGAUUUCUAAGAAUAAUACCAAAGUCAACGUCCUUACAUUACUCAAAAUCACGAUGAAUCUAAGAACAUAAAAAACAUACGCAUUAAAAAAUGGGAGAACAAUGUUUUUUCCCGGUGUGCAUUUUAAGUAUUGGAUGUUUGGCAACACAUCAGAGAAGCACAUUUUGUAAACAAAUUGACAAAGUUUCGUUGUAUGAUGCCGACCGGCAUAAACUUAAUUUAUGUACAAACUUUUUAAAUAAAUUCUUUAUUUAUUGUGAAGAAACUGUAGCUGCUCUGAUUCCACUAAAACUGAAAUGGCUUCUGUUUCUGCGCGUCUUUCAAUUAUUGGAGAAACAUCAUCCUGUGAACCUGAUCAAGAUGCUAAUUCUGCUCUUACAGAACUUGACAAAGCACCUGUUUUUUUAAAUGUCAAGUUGGUGCCAGGAUUAUCGCCAAGUUCAUGCUUACUUCAUAUAAUUUGGCAUGUUUCCAUGAUUGAUUAGCAUGACAUCUGAAGCAUUGCUUCUCGCAAGAACUUUCACCACAUGAACUGGGCAAGUAUCGUGGUGAACGUAUGUAACAUCCUCACAGCAAGCUAAGAUGCAUGAUGUCGAACCAUACCUCACUGAUUUGGAGCGCAACAAUAUUUCAUCAUUUUGUGAAUGAACAGUUGUUGUUGAAUCAAAAUGAAAUCUAUAGUUAAUUAAAAUGUCUGUAACCUGCUUUUUCAACUCUUCUGUUUUAUGUGUUUACCAACAGUCUGAAUAAAUUGUAAAUCUUUGUUGUAGAUGGAUGACGAUUUUUGCUGUGAGUGUAGUUGCUUCUCUAAUUGGACAGUAAAAUAUUCACCACUUUCUUGGCAUAACCUACCAAAUUGCUGUUCAACAGCAGAUUUUUUUAUUAAUCUUAUUGCAAAUAUUUUUUUCACUGUUAAAUAAUAUAUUAUUGCAGUUUAAAAGGCAUUAAAGAAUAAUAUAUAUA
This 1013-nucleotide unclassified non-coding RNA is filed under the name Stegodyphus dumicola. RNAcentral's name for it is "integrator complex subunit 7-like, transcript variant X2". Lineage: Eukaryota; Metazoa; Arthropoda; Arachnida; Araneae; Eresidae. The record is from RNAcentral.